RNAcentral lists this ribosomal RNA (973 nucleotides) under uncultured euryarchaeote. RNAcentral describes it as "bacterial SSU rRNA". It matches the Rfam family "Archaeal small subunit ribosomal RNA", at positions 343 to 1332 of the family's 1478-position model. The record is from RNAcentral. Lineage: Archaea; Methanobacteriati; Methanobacteriota.
AAAUACUUCUCGGAGCGAGCGUGAGGGGGUACUCCGAGUUCCUCCUUUGGAGGAUUUUGUAGUGUGUAAGAAGCACUGCAAAUAAGGGCCGGGCAAUGCCAGUGCCAGCCGCCGCGGUAAUACUGGAGGCCCGAGUGAUACUCACUAUUAUUGGGCUUAAAGCGUUCGUAGCCGGUUUUUUAAGUCUUUUGUGAAAUCCUGCUGCUUAACAGUAGGUCGGGCAAGAAAUACUGAAAGACUAGAGGAUGGGAGAGGUUGGAGGUAUUUCAGGGGUAGGGGCAAAAUCCUAUAAUCCUAGAAGGACCAUCUGGGCAAAGGCUUCCAACUAGAACAUGCCUGACGGUGAGGAACGAAAGCUAGGGAAGCAAACCAGAUUAGAUACCUGGGUAGUCCUAGCCGUAAACUAUGUGGACUGUGUACUGCGGGUGCUUAGGGCUCCCGCAGUGCUGAAGGAAAACCGUUAAGUCCACCGUCUGGGGAGUACGGUCGCAAGGCUGAAACUUAAAGGAAUUGGCGAAGGAGCACCACAAGGGGUGGAGUCUGCGGUUUAAUUGGAUACAACGCCAGACAACUCACCAGGGGCAACGGCAGAAUGACAGUCAGAUUUAAGAUCUUGCUUGACAAGCCAAGAGGUAGUGCAUGGCCACCGUCAGCUCGUACCGUAAGGCGUACCCUUAAGUGGGUUAACAAGCGAGACCCAUACUUUCAUUUGCUACCGUUCAUCUUUGAACGAGCACUAUGGAGGGACCGCUGACAACAAGUCAGAGGAAGGAAUGGGCGAUGAUAGGUCGGUAUGCUCCGAAUCCCUUGGGCUACACGUGGACUACAAUGACAUGAACAAUGGGAUGCAACUCCGAGAGGAGGACCAAUCCCCAAAUCAUGCCUCAGUUCGGAUUGAGGGUUGUAACUCACCCUCAUGAAGAUGAAAUCCCUAGUAACCGUAAGUUAACAUCUUGCGGUGAAUAUGUCCCCG